AGUCACUAAGGUAAACCUCAGCUGUUCCUGGGCUAACAGAGCUACAGAAAUUCAGACUAAUCCAUGUAAUUCAGAAAAUGACAGCAGCCUCGCUUCUCACAGGUUCGAUUGUGUCAGGAGCAAGAUAAAGGUUCCAACCUUUUCAGCAGGCAUGGGAAGAAGCUCAUUCUCAUCUAGAUCAAUGCCUUGACUGCAAAUGUGUCUCUGUAUAGAUGGAUGACACACACCAGUAUGCAUGUUUUUACAAUGGGAGAAGACACUGAAGACCAGAUUAUACACCGCACUUGAGCAUGACAGAGAUCCUAAAGACAUAUCAGAAAGUGAUUUUCAAUUGCCUGAGUCUCUGUGGGAACCCUUGUGUCUGAACCUUUCCCAAGGAUGUUGUCAAGUAAGAGGCCUGGAGCUGGUAUAUCCCCACACGGCACAGGUAUUCCCGACAGAAGUAUCAUCUCCAUUUCAUUUUUUUCUGCUUAAGAAGCACACAGGGGUAUGGGCAUAUCAGGCAGAAACACUGAAUCCCCUGAGGAAAAUAAAACAGAAUCAAUGCAAGAAGAAAGACUCAAGUUUAUACCUCUUUAGAAAAACUCAAACAUAUGCUGCAUUUUCAUUUUCUCAUGCUAAAAUUUUCACUUCUGAGAAGGCCAACUAAUAAACAAAGUCACCUAUUACAGUUAUACAAAUGUUGCAUCCCCACUGUUUUAUAUUGUAAGGAAAUAAGCUGAAACUAGUCAAAAUUCAGUAUCCCUGGCAAAUAUCUGAAACUCUUUUUAUGUGGAAUGAGGAUACAGCUAGGGCUGAAAGAACAUAUGUUUUCAGUCCCACUGAAAAUUUCACUGUCUUCAUAUUCACUUUUAUCCCAAUUUGGAACAGAAAGUCAAACAUUGACUACUGAAACUUCUAAAAAUCACAAAGUUCAGAAUUGUCAAAACAUGCCAAUUUAGUGUUUCUGAUCUAAAGGAAACCCUGAAUGUUACAAAACUGCAACAGUGAAUAACUCUUUUUGAAUGAAACCAAAGCAUUACAUUUUAUCUCAGUUCAAUACCAAUGUAAGUCCCCCUGAAAUGAUCUUGACGCCUUACAAGAGCUGAAGUAUAGACACCUUGCAUUAAUUUUUUCCUACAGAGAGAUUUUCUGUGUGUGCCACAAGGUACAUCACCAUACAAAUCCCCAGGUUUGCCCCAAAAAAGACAUCCAGUUAUGACAUGUGGAAUGUAAACCAGCUAAGGAGUUGUUUCUGUAUAGAUCUUGGUCCCUUGGAUGUCAGGCACAAAGAUACUGCAGGGCAACACAGAUAAAUGUUGAGCAGAUCUGAAACAAAAUAUUUAGUUUAGUUCAAGAAGAGAAACGUGUUUUCUGGUUUGGGUGUUGAUUCAACCCCAUUGAGACAGUCUUCAAGAUUUGUAAAGGCUGGUGAUGUAAUUGUUUGAUGUGAUGUUGAAUGACAUAUAUCUGUACAGUGGUCAUUCUUAAAGUCACUCUGGGCUUGAUUGGGAUAAAAUAAAAUGCAGUACUGGAUAGUUACACUGAUGACCCAGGCCAAUUUAUCAUUAAAGUUUACAACACUUUGAGUUACUUUACCAAGACAAAGUUAGCUAAGGUAAUGACAAAUUUUCUGACCACUAUAAAUACAUAUUGCAGUCAUAUUUAAACUAGUAGAUAAUUAAUGCAGAGCCAGCUGCUACUAAUAUACUGUACUAAGACUUGUUAAUACAAGGAUCUAAUAAAGCUGUUCAUACUGGUAAUACCGUAUAGCAUUUAAAACUAUUGCAAAAUUUCCCUUAGAAUUGUCUUCUUCUUCAUUUUUUGUAUGCACAUUCCAGACAGAUAAGAGGAGAUGGUCUUUGUCCUGAAGAGCUUGAAUUAAAAUAAUAUAGAUCUAAAGGAAAACACAGCUUAGCAAAAUUGCUCUUUGCUUAUAAGGAUCUCCUCUUUCAGCUUUUCACUCAAACCCAAGAAAAUCUGCAUUAGGAAUAGGUUUUUGAAGGCACAAUCAAAACCUCUUGAAAUAUGUGGAAGUUUUGUAGUAUGCUUUUAAAAAUGGACACCCAGUUAUCCAGAUGUCUGAGGAAUAUCCAAAAUUAAAGGAGGGCAUUCUCUGCUAAUUCACUCACUUUUACAAUAAAGCUAAGUGAAAAUGAGAAUAGUUCUGAUCACCAGAGUCAGAAAUUGGUAUUCCAGCAGUUUCAUAACAGAAAUUGGUUUGCCUCCAUUUUACUAAAUUAUACUGUUCAGUAGUUAGAAACUCAUUUUAUAAGCAAAUACAUACUUACCUAUUUUUUAAGGCUCUGACCCGCUGCUCAUCUUAAUGGCUUAUAACUAAGAGUGUUCCAACUGGUUGAUACCAUCUGUCUGAAUCUGCUAGACAAAAAGGUAGUGAACUAGAUCUGUGGCUCUAGCUCAUUUAGUUUGUAUUCAAGAAACUGUGGCGUCAGUCUUUAGUAUGGAACGCUGUUGAAAUAUUAUGAAAGCCAAGCAAUUGUUUUUCUUUAAGAGGAAAAAAAAAAGUAGUGAGUAAUUAAACAGGAAUAAAAAGGAAUGACAUGGCAGCUGUGGACUGUAUUAUUCUCUAGUCCCUUGAUAGGGAUGGGUAUUGAAAUAGCCCGUCUUCUGAGAUUUCAAAAAGCAGGCACAGAAGGGGAAAACCAUGUUUCUGAGUACCCAAAGUUAAAACCGUCUCACUAAAAUAAAGGCGAGAGGGAAGGGGACUAGAAGGCUCCACUGAAUUGUGUCUGGGGAUCGGAUGUGUGGGCUUGUGUAUCGUAGCUGUGGAUGUUCCUAUGGUUGGUUCCCAUGUGAAUUCGAGGGAUAUAAUCACCUCCAGUAAGUGGAAAAGACUGUCAGUGAUAGAUGAAAAAGUCCUCUCUGCCUCAGGAGGUGUCAGAAGAUAGUUCAGCAGACUGAUGCUAACUGCCUUCAGGCAUAAGCAGAAGGCAACUUUGUGUCAGUGACCAACAUAGUUUCUGACGUGCAAUGCCCAUGACACUAAAUAUUAAGGAUAAGAAAG
Cuculus canorus (common cuckoo) is the source of this 3004-nucleotide long non-coding RNA. RefSeq lists it as uncharacterized. The transcript is spliced from 3 exons. Lineage: Eukaryota; Metazoa; Chordata; Aves; Cuculiformes; Cuculidae. The record is from RefSeq and is a predicted model, not a curated record.